RNAcentral lists this transfer RNA (69 nucleotides) under Endocronartium harknessii PhW48OC. RNAcentral describes it as "tRNA-Val (TAC) (tRNA-Val-TAC-1-1)". It matches the Rfam family "tRNA". From Rfam's summary of the family: Transfer RNA (tRNA) molecules are approximately 80 nucleotides in length. Their secondary structure includes four short double-helical elements and three loops (D, anti-codon, and T loops). Lineage: Eukaryota; Fungi; Basidiomycota; Pucciniomycetes; Pucciniales; Coleosporiaceae. The record is from RNAcentral.
GGUUCCAUAAUUCAGUGGUAGAAUGCCUGCUUUACAAGUAUGUCGUGGGUUCGAUCCCCACUGGGAUCA